AGGGUGGUAGCUCAACGGCAGAGCGGUGGUUUCCAAGUCCACGACCGCGGGGGUUCGACUCCCUCCCACCCUG
RNAcentral lists this transfer RNA (73 nucleotides) under Myxococcales bacterium. RNAcentral's name for it is "tRNA-Trp". It matches the Rfam family "tRNA". Rfam says of the family: Transfer RNA (tRNA) molecules are approximately 80 nucleotides in length. Their secondary structure includes four short double-helical elements and three loops (D, anti-codon, and T loops). The record is from RNAcentral. Lineage: Bacteria; Pseudomonadati; Myxococcota; Myxococcia; Myxococcales.